GAUGAACGCUGGCGGCGUGCUUAACACAUGCAAGUCGAACGAUGAAGCCCAGCUUGCUGGGUGGAUUAGUGGCGAACGGGUGAGUAACACGUGAGUAACCUGCCCUUAACUCUGGGAUAAGCCUGGGCAACUGGGUCUAAUACCGGAUAGGAGCGCCUACCGCCUGGUGGGUGUUGGAAAGAUUUAUCGGUUUUGGAUGGACUCGCGGCCUAUCAGCUUGUUGGUGAGGUAUUGGCUCACCAAGGCGCCGCCGGGUAGCCGGCCUGUGAGGGUGACCGGCCACACUGGGACUGAGAGACGGCGCAGACUCCUACGGGAGGCAGCAGUGGGGAAUAUUGCACAAUGGGCGAAAGCCUGAGGCAGCGACGCCGCGUGAGGGAUGACCGCUUUCGGGUUGUAAACCUCUUUCAGUAGGGAAGAAGCGAAAGUGACGGUACCUGCAGAAGAAGCACCGGCUAACUACGUG
Molecule: ribosomal RNA, 466 nt
Filed under: uncultured bacterium
Lineage: Bacteria
Description: partial 16S ribosomal RNA
Rfam family: Bacterial small subunit ribosomal RNA
Source: RNAcentral